AUUGAUUGGUAGAACAAAGUUGUA
This 24-nucleotide non-coding RNA is filed under the name Arabidopsis thaliana (thale cress). The record is from RNAcentral. Lineage: Eukaryota; Viridiplantae; Streptophyta; Magnoliopsida; Brassicales; Brassicaceae.